ACUUGUUCCUUAGUAGCUUGCAUGCAGCCCUGUUGCGCUUCUUCAGAAAGUUGCUCCUCAACUCUGUCUGGAAAGCAGUGCAGCGAGCACAGGCCCUCCUCACAUGUCCCGACUGAUUUUACUUAUGAAGCUGGCAAAAGACGGGCACAGGAGAACAAACUAAUGUGCUGACACUCAGAUCUUCUCCCUGGAUUACCCAGAGCAACUUCCAGUGCGGCAGGAGAAAAUGGGAGAAAUUACUGAUCCUCUUCUGCCAGGAGACCUAAAAUCUGCUAGCAGUUACAACUUUGUAGAAAAACUUCCAUCUUUCUCUAGCUCAGCAGAAGACAACUGCACGCUGCUAUAGCCAGCACAAAGCUGGAUUGCGGCUAAAAGAGAAGAAACGUCCUUGACCAAGGUGUUGCAGAUUCUCCCAGCUUCUGAGAAAGGGGAAAACAAAGCUUACCUUGAACUCUUCACAACUUUGUCAGUGUAAAAACACAUUGGAAGAAAAGAUAGGAGCUGCAAACUGCAAACAAGGUGGAACCCAUACUUGU
Long non-coding RNA from Calidris pugnax (ruff), 536 nucleotides. RefSeq lists it as uncharacterized. Lineage: Eukaryota; Metazoa; Chordata; Aves; Charadriiformes; Scolopacidae. The transcript is spliced from 3 exons. The record is from RefSeq and is a predicted model, not a curated record.